AUCGACACUGACGCUGAGGUGCGAAAGCGUGGGUAGCAAACAGGAUUAGAUACCCUGGUAGUCACGCCGUAAACGAUGAGAACUAGCCGUUGGAUCUUAGAUUCAGUGGUACAGCUAACGCAUUAAGUUCUCCGCCUGGGGAGUACGGCCGCAAGGCUAAAACUCAAAUGAAUUGACGGGGGCCCGCACAAGCGGUGGAGCAUGUGGUUUAAUUCGAUGCAACGCGAAAAACCUUACCAACCCUUGACAUCUAGUGAAAUUUCUAGAGAUAGAUUUGUGCCUUCGGGAACACUAUGACAGGUGUUGCAUGGCUGUCGUCAGCUCGUGUCGUGAGAUGUAUGGUUAAGUCCAGUAACGAGCGCAACCCCUAUUCUUAUUUGCCAGCACUUCGGGUGGGAACUAUAAGGAGACCGCCGUGUAUAACACGGAGGAAGGCGGGGACGACGUCAAGUCAUCAUGGCCCUUACGGGUUGGGCUACACACGUGCUACAAUGGGAGAUACAGAUGGUUGCGAAAGCGCGAGCUGGAGCUAAUCCCAAAAAGUCUUCCUCAGUCCGGAUUGGAGUCUGCAACUCGACUCCAUGAAGCAGGAAUCGCUUGUAAUCGUGAAUCAGAAUGUCACGGUGAAUACGUUCUCGGGCCUUGUACACACCGCCCGUCACGUCAUGGGAGUGUGUUGCACCAGAAGUGGUUUGCCUAACCUUUGGAGGGCGGCCCCCACGGUGUGGUACGCGACUGGGACGAAGUCGUAACAAGGUAACCGUA
Molecule: ribosomal RNA, 765 nt
Filed under: uncultured bacterium
Lineage: Bacteria
Description: bacterial SSU rRNA
Rfam family: Bacterial small subunit ribosomal RNA
Source: RNAcentral